Molecule: non-coding RNA, 45 nt
Organism: Salmo salar (Atlantic salmon)
Lineage: Eukaryota; Metazoa; Chordata; Actinopteri; Salmoniformes; Salmonidae
Source: Rfam
AAACAGGCUCUUUUAAGAGUCACCCAUAUUGAAAAAAUGUUGAAC